Molecule: ribosomal RNA, 468 nt
Filed under: uncultured bacterium
Lineage: Bacteria
Description: partial 16S ribosomal RNA
Rfam family: Bacterial small subunit ribosomal RNA
Source: RNAcentral
GACGAACGCUGGCGGCGUGCUUAACACAUGCAAGUCGAACGGAAAGGCCCUGCUUUUGUGGGGUGCUCGAGUGGCGAACGGGUGAGUAACACGUGAGUAACCUGCCCUUGACUUUGGGAUAACUUCAGGAAACUGGGGCUAAUACCGGAUAGGAGCUCCUGCUGCAUGGUGGGGGUUGGAAAGUUUCGGCGGUUGGGGAUGGACUCGCGGCUUAUCAGCUUGUUGGUGGGGUAGUGGCUUACCAAGGCUUUGACGGGUAGCCGGCCUGAGAGGGUGAACGGCCACAUUGGGACUGAGAUACGGCCCAGACUCCUACGGGAGGCAGCAGGGGGGAAUAUUGCACAAUGGGCGGAAGCCUGAGGCAACAACGCCGCGGGCGGGAAGACGGCCUUUGGGUUGUAAACCGCUUUCGCCUGUGACGAAGCGUGAGUGACGGUAAUGGGUAAAGAAGCACCGGCUAACUACGUG